This 419-nucleotide ribosomal RNA is filed under the name bacterium. RNAcentral describes it as "partial 16S ribosomal RNA". It matches the Rfam family "Bacterial small subunit ribosomal RNA", at positions 355 to 776 of the family's 1533-position model. The record is from RNAcentral.
UGGGGGAUAUUGCACAAUGGGCGAAAGCCUGAUGCAGCGACGCCGCGUGGGGGAUGAAGGCCUUCGGGUUGUAAACUUCUUUUGCUCUGAACAAGGCAUGCUAAUGGGUGUGUUGAGUAUAGGGGUUGAUUAGCGCCGGCUAACUACGUGCCAGCAGCCGCGGUAAUACGUAGGGCGCGAGCGUUGUCCGGAAUUAUUGGACGUAAAGGGCUUGUAGGUGGCUGGUUGCGUCUGUCGUGAAAGCUCAUGGCUUAACUGUGGGUUUGCGGUGGGUACGGGCUGGCUUGAGUGCAGUAGGGGAGGCUGGAAUUCCUGGUGUAGCGGUGGAAUGCGCAGAUAUAAGGAGGAAUACCGGUGGCGAAGGCGGGUCUCUGGGCUGUUACUGACACUGAGGAGCGAAAGCAUGGGGAGCGAACAGG